This 26384-nucleotide long non-coding RNA is filed under the name Coffea arabica (coffee). RNAcentral describes it as "long non-coding RNA (CARA_LNC004530)". The record is from RNAcentral. Lineage: Eukaryota; Viridiplantae; Streptophyta; Magnoliopsida; Gentianales; Rubiaceae.
ACGGUGCGGAUCUAUCAUUGAUGAGUCCAACUGAGGGUUCAGCAUACCAGAUGAAUCCGUCAUAUUAUCAUCCAACCCUUCUUGUGCUUUACCUUGUUUAAAGAGCAGCCCUGUUUUAUUAGUUGAACUAGAUGCACAUGAAAACUCAUCCAUGGUUUCAGCCGGUGCAUGUUCCACAUGAGUUUCUCCAACACCUGUUAUCUCUGAUUUGUUAUCAUCAGUCCUCACAGCCGAGUGUGUAAGUUUGGAUGUAUCCUCAUCAGCUGGAAGCUCACGUGCUUGGAGAUACUGAUCAGAUAGCCUUUGCUCUAGUUCUUUAAUCCUUUUCUCAUAGGAUUCACACUGGAUUUGCUUGGUUUUUAGCAUAGUCUGUAGGUGUUUCUGAUACUGAUCUUUCAAAUUUAGAGCUUCAGUUGUCUUCUCAGCAGCACUUUUCAGUAAACUAUCUAGUCUACUGUCAUCCAGCGACUCAUAAUCAAAUUCAGGGCUCAUUGAACAAAUCAUAGCUAUUUUAGAAGCGAGUUCAGCUUUUAGUUUUGCAUUUUCAACUUCCAUCUUGCUGGUUCCGGCAAUCUCUGCCAACUCUGAACCUUCAAGUAAAUCCAUAGAAUCAAAUUUCUCAGGGGAGUCCACGACACUUUCUUCAAUCUCAGCUGUGUGUGAACUAUCAUUUGACAUGGAAAAUGAACCUCUGGAAGUCCCCUGUUUCUCAGUCUUAGAAAGUAAUCCAACUAAAUGUUCUGGAGCAUAGCGGUCAACAUCUGAAAUGUCAAUGUCAAGCAAAUUCGUGUCAAAAGGAGUUAUAUUGACAUCACACUGGUUAGGUGUAUCAUACAAUCCCAUUGAUGUCAGUAUAUCCCUUGGUAUAUACAAACUAUGUACUCUAAGAAAUUCUUCUCGUCUCCUUACUUCAGCCUCUCUCUUGGUUGCAAGCCUUUCAGCCAAUUGUCCAGCCAUGCCCAUGUAAAGCUUCAUUGUAGCCUUUCUUCUCACCACCUCAGCAAGGCAUGCCCUGUAUGCAGGACCAAUUCCAUGCACCACCCUUAAAUGCUCAAAUUGGUCACUUUGGCGCUUGAAAAGCUCCUGGAAGACAGAAAACUCGAAGCGCACACCUUUGAUUGUGUAUUGUAUAUAUGCUAUCUGUUGCAUGUACUUGUGCACAAAGACAUUCAUUUCAUUCUUUUUAUCCUGACAAAAAUUAAGCAAUUUGGAUAUUGCACGCUCACAAUCCUGCAUCUUAGGAAGACAACUCUUCUCAUGGCUAUCAUACAUAGGACCUAAGGCUGAAACUGCAUCAUGGGGACGAAGUGAAGAGGACAGCUUGCUGCUAAGAGAGUCAUCAACAAGCUUCUUUACAGUGUUCACGUCUUUCCUGCACAAACAUGAUAAUUAAUUUAGCGGAGACAUAUAAACAAAUCAUGUACCAGAAAAGGGAAGGUACAGGCAUUAGACCACUCAACAUAAAAAACCAAUCUAAAGAACCACAGAAAAUAAUACGACAUAAGAAAAAGAUUAUCCAGGACAAGUGUAACAUCAAUUCCAGCCUGGUCAACAUUGGUAUAAAAGACACCCAAGUCAAUCUCCAAAUGCAUGUGCCAAUAUGUACGUCAAAAUAGAGCAUGCUUAUAUACAACAAUCAACAGGCCUUGGCACAUUGAAAGAUACAAAAAAUAAUAAUAAUAAUAAUAAUUUUUCCUUUGUCUAGAGUUGGAUAAGAAAAAUUAAUGAUGUGGCUUAAGCCAAAAAAUAGUACUGCCUACCAAAGUAUUUAGCAAAUAUAAAAGAAGAGCAACAACAACUUCAGCUUUGUUCUUUCUUUCAAUUAAAGACCAAAGCUUACACUGUUGAAACUGCCAAAAUACCAUUCUUAACAUUUUAAAAUUUUCCAAAUUUGAGUUGUCUUGGUUUUCUUAAAUUCUGGUUACAGUAGACUAAGAAAAACUGGAACACCAAAAAGAGCUUUUUUAAGCACUUUUAAAUAAUCCCCACUUCAGGAGCUUGUGUUAAGGAGCACCAUUGAGGAGGGCCACCAACCCCAACUUUCUCUUUCUGAGCAUCCAAGGAUUUAAUCAAGAAAAUUACCACUGAAAAGAGACAAACAUAUCCCAUCCAUAGAAAAAAGAUAUUCCUAUGCAAUUAAUUCCAAAGACAUUCCCGAGAAUCUAAAUAAAACCUCUGUCUAAUUGACUUCUUCAAGAGAGAACUAUUACAGAAACUGAUGUCCUUGUCCACAUCAAUGUUCACCUAAUAACACACUGAACUUGUGACAUGAGGCUCCUACUGAAAAGAUAGCACAGAACUAUAGCCUUUGUUUUAUAUAAACCUCCCUACCUUCAGAUUCUAAUUCAUUAAAGUACCAACAGAACGCUAACUCCUUUUUCCAAUUAUUGACAAAGCAUGUAUAAAUAUCUUCAAUUUAAAUACCUGAUCUUCCAAAUUCUUUUACUGACUAGAUUACAUAAGCAUUGUCGAGAUGUUUGACCUUCUAAUGUCUUUUACUGAAAAUUAUGUUUGCCAUGCUAUUUAAUUGCAACAGUUACACAUUUCUCUGAAGCUGCAACACCUAACAAAAAAGUUAUUUAUCAAAAAAGUUAUUUAUAUGAGAAAAACCAGCUUAAUCAAGUGAUUCAUGGCCACAGGGCCUCAGAUGUUCAAAACUGCACCAUAGGCAAGUUUACAUUACCUAAAAGCGGUGAAAGAAUAGGACAGGAAAGUGAUGUUUUAGAAAUUCCAAGGGAACUGCUGUUUAAGAGGAAAAAACAAUGCAAAAGAUUAAUAUGCCAAAAUCAGAACUAAACAUGCAUAAAAUUUUCAUGCGACCGUACUCAUAAGUUUAAAAUCAAACAAAAGUAAGGUCAAAGACAUCAAUAGUCAUGGUGAAAUUUUAAGAAAUUUCUAGAGAACUGCUGUUUCAGCAGGGAAAAUCAACGCAAGGCAUUCAUGUGCCAAAAUCAGAACCAGAUAUAAUAAGUUUUCAUGCAAACAUCCUCACAUAUAAGUUUAAAUCCAUCAAAAUAAAGUCAAACACAUUACCAGUCAUCGUGACAUUUCACUAUAAUAACAAAAAGUCAAUUUCAAAUUCAUGGAAUCAGUAAGACAGUUUAUUAUGCAACACAUUUACAAAUUAUAGACCAGUACUAAAUUGGGGAACAAAACACAUAGAAAUCCAACAAAUUCACUGAGAGAGAACAGGACAGUGAGAGUACCUUAAGGUCUGCAUUAUGCUUUUUUGCUCAUUAAUAUACCGCUGGUGCUCUUUUAGAGUGGUUUCGAUUUCUCCCACAUGGAAAGAAGCUUUACUGGAAAACAACUGUUCAGCAUUGCGCUUUAGCUGUCCAAACUCCUGCUUAAAGUCUAAAACUUUAUUCUCAAAUUGCUUGUGGGAAUUGCUACAGUCCUCCACAGCCUUUUGCAAGUUCUCUUCCUUCACAAAAUCCAGUAAGCACCUGCGGCUAGCACCUUGUAAUGCAGGCAAAAUCUUGCAAGCUUUCAAUUUCUCUAUAUCUCUUCCAAAAUUUGCCAGAAGAUUAGCAUGCCUUCUAUGCUGCUGCGAAUAAAACUUCUCAAAAUCCCUAUAGUUUUGGAGAAUCAUCCUAUAAAAAUGAUCCAAAUUAUGACCAGCAAUCUCCAAUGCUCUCUCUUGAACCUUUUGCUCUCUGAAAAGCCGCUCACAGAUAUCCAAUUUUGCUCGCGUACGGGAAUAAAUAGCAUCUCCAAACUGAAAAUGAUAUCUGAAUUGCCUCUCAUACGAUGGCAAGGCCUUCAGAGCAGGGUCAGGAGCGUCAUCCAAGGGGUGACGGUUGUGGGAGGAGGACGGGACUUGGGGAUCAGGAAUAUCAAUUAUAUCAACUUGCUCAUCUGCAGGAGGCUCUGAAUUGCUCCUCAUUCUUGCUCUAUUAAACAAGAAUACUUCCCGAUCACCAGACGGAAGUCUAUAGGUAGAAAGGGGCCGCUGAGAUUCCAACUUCAUGUCUAAGCAUAAAAGAAGCUGAUCAUUAAACUGAAUCCCUGUAACUGAUUCUAGGAAUCUCUGGACAGCCUCAACGAUAUAAUAUUCAUCGCACUCGAGCUCGAACGAGUGCCCAUUCUCAGCAAUAUGAACCAAAAGCUUGCCCGUCUGAACAACACCUUCUGUGACAUUUGAACUCAUUGUAAAACUGCCCCUCCACCGCAACAAUCAGAAUCAGCUAAGAAAUAAGAACAACCACAGCAACAACGCGAAUUGAAUAGUUCAGCUAAGGUCAGGGCUAAAACACUAGUUACAGCUUCUCCAACUGAUUAGCCCCAGACAGAUGAACAGUUCCCCCAAUUUUAGACCUUUAAAGCUUAUGUUAUCAAAAGCUCUCCAGCAAUUAUGUACAAUCCACCAUAAAAUCAACAAAAACAUGUCAAAUCCCACCAAAUCCUCCAAUUGGUUUACAAGAGGAAAUAGCAAUUUCUAUAGUUAAUUUUCCAGAAAAUCCUGAUUAGAAACAAUCAACCACCUGUGAUGUCAGCAAAAUGAGCAAAAUCCCAGCAAACCCACCAAAGAUUGUACCAAUUAAACCUCAAAUAUUAUUCAACCACUUCCAAAAACCCCGUGUAAAACCCAAAUUUUUAGCAAUUGAAACCGCAAUUUCUUAGAAAAGCCCCAACUUUUACUAACCGACGAAAGUUCACUUCUUUUUUCCGAAACCCACAAAUCGAAACCAAUCAAUUCCUGCAAUCAAGCAAUAAAAAAGUCAAUAUUUAAUCCCAGAAAAACAGAAACCACACCCAAAAUUCGAAGCCAAGGCUAAAAACGUACGAAUUCAGUAACAAAGAAGCAAACUUUUCUCGACCCAAGAAAGGAAAGAACGAAAAGCCCAAUUACGUGAAGAAAGAGAAUGUUACUUAGGAUUUGCAUAGAAAGAGUUUUAACACGAAAAGCUAUCUCCUUUUCCUAGUAAGUUCUGUAGAUGGGCUUGCUUGUGUUUCCUUGAUGGAACAAUAUAUUUGAUCCAAAAAAAAAUAAUUUAAAAAAAGAUUUCUUUUCUCUUUUUCUUUUAUAAUUAAUACACUAGUAUCGGGAAGAGAGAACCUUCUGAAGGAAGUAACGACCGACCAACCAACCAGCCAAUUAACCAACAGGUAACAGAGCCACCAGCAGAAGCACCGGAAGAUGUUGCUUGGUAGUAUCUUGGUAUUAAUUAAGUGCGUGUUGUGUGUGUGUGUUUUGUUUCUUCUCCUUCCCUAGUAUCCUUCUCACAUCGGAAUUAUAAGGGCCGGGGGUGGACUUGGAUAGCAGUAGUCUAGGAAGAAUAGGAAAAGGAUUUCAGAUGGCAAUCCAAUGUUGGAAAUGUCAUGUACCCUCUUACUCUUCUUCUACAAUCAUUGCAAUAUAUUUUUUAUAAGAGUAAUAAGGAGUUUAGUAACACUAACGAUGAUGUGUGUGUGUGUAAAUGUCUGCACGUUUCCUGAUGAUCAACUCUUUUUCCUUUUCCUUUUCCUUUUCCUUUUCUUUCAUGGAAGAAGAAGAAGGUAAAUUAUUUGCUCCAGCCUCCAAGCAUAAUUUUUUUUUUUUAAAUUUUGGUAAAAAGUAUAAUGCUUUAUACUCUAAGGUAAUUUCUAUUUGCCCCAUGAAGUUGUGCAAUGUUUGAUUUCAUCCCCACAAAUUAAGUUUUGUUCCCUUUUACCUGCAUCAACUUUUCGCGUAUGUUUUAGGCGGACUUGUCACCUAGUACUAAUUUGUAAGCCAUAGUACUUCCUUUUUUUUUUUUUUUUUUGGUUGGAUGUACUUAAGUUUGAGGUUAAGUGAUACUAAGAAGGAAAAAGGGCAAGGAAAGAUGGUUAAUAAUUCUGCUUAGGACUUUAGUUGAGUCAAAAAUUUAAAAAACGUGUGUUUUCUAACGGUCAUCUUAGCGCAUAAUUUAUUUAGGAAUGUGCUAUAAUAAUUUUGUCUUCUAAGAAAGACAACGGGGAUGGAGUCUUACUUGUCUCUUUGUACUUUUGAUUUGGGUAAGAUUCAUUUAUGCUCUUUUGAAGAGUUUUCAAUAAAAAAAAAAAAGAGUUAUUAUAACACAUUUUUGAAUAAAUUAGAGGACAAAAAGAUAGUUAGAUGAUGAUAACUUUCAGUGUUGUAGUCAGAAUGUAUGUGAAAUCUGGCUGUUUAGAGAAGGCAUGCAUAGUUCUCGAUGCAAUGGACAAACAGACGAACAUUGUUCCAGAUGUUUAUCUGCUUAGAGAUAUGUUCCGAAUUUAUCAACAGUGUGGUAUGCUCGAUAAAUUGCAAGGUCUUUACUACAAAACCUUGAAAAGUGGAAUCAUAUGGGAUCAGGAAUUGUACAACUGUGUGUUAAACUGCUGUGCUCGUGCUUUGCCAGUUGAUGAACUCUCAAAAGUUCUUGAUGAGAUGCUUCGACAUGGGUUUGCUCCUAAUACUGUCACUUUUAAUGUGAUGCUUGAUGUUUAUGGAAAAUCUGGGCUUUUCAAGAGGGCAAGGAAAGUAUUUUGGCUGGCUAAAAAGCGAGGUCUAAUUGAUGCUAUCUCUUACAAUACAAUGAUAGCUGCAUAUGGGCAGCAUAAGGACUUGAAGAAUAUGUCAUCUACUGUGAAAAAAAUGCAAUUUAAUGGCUUUUCAGUUUCCCUUGAAGCCUAUAACUGUAUGUUGGAUGCCUAUGGGAAAGAAGGUGAAAUGGAGAAAUUCAGAAAUGUCUUGCAGAGAAUGAAGGAAUCUAGCUGUGUUUCAGAUUCCUACACAUACAAUAUAAUGAUUAAUAUAUAUGGAGAGCAAGGAUGGAUUGAAGAAGUGUCUGGCAUUCUGAUGGAACUGAAACAAUUUGCACUUGGGCUUGAUUUAUGCGGUUAUAACACAUUAAUAAAAGCAUAUGGAAUUGCAGGAAUGGUUGAAGAGGCUGUUGCUUUGGUUAAAGAGAUGAGAGAAAAUGGUAUAAAACCUGACCUAAUAACCUAUUAUAAUCUGAUCAAUGCACUGCAAAAGAACGAUAUGUUUCUAGAAGCUGUCAAGUGGUCCUUGUGGAUGAAGCAGACAGGACUAUCUAAUUAAGGAGGCAAAUGGACACUACUCACUGUGGUUGCUCUAUCUCUUCUCUUAUUCUCUUCUGCUAAGAAAACCUAAGCUGUGAUAUAACACUGAAAUUUGUUGUAAGUAGGCAUGCCAUAUACACAUUUUCUUCGUACCAUAUGUAGUUUUUUUUUUAGUCCUCUUAUUUGUUGUAAAGUCAUCACAAAGUUUCCUUUAUCCUUUAAUGUUUGCUUCUUUUAUGCCUUUUCUAUGAUGCCAUGAACCUUCUGAAAUAACAUUCAACUUUGGUAGAUAAGUUGAAGUGCAUAUUGGAAAUGCUAAGCUGUAGAAUUGAUGUUUGGAUUCUGCUAUUUUUCAGCCAUUCCUUGCCUAGGGCUACAAACAUGCAAAGACAUCUACAGAAGUAUCAAUAGGUUCCAAAACUUUUAAUUAAAAGUGCUGAAAGAGUUUAUGUUAGAUGCAGGAAGGGUCCCCUACCCUUUGGCGCCUCAGUGUCAAAUAAAUAUAAUUCCACCCUAGCUGAUUAUGUUACAUGUUUAUACUUGAAUGCAGAUAGCUUUUGUACUUUAAUUCUUAUGAGUGGAGGCAUAGUUAUUUAAUUGCCUGCUUCUCCUCUCGUGAUCAUGCACAACAUGACUGCAAUUUAUUUUCUGCUAUUCUUGUGAGCUUCCUGUUCAAGGCCAAUAAUUUCUUUGAGGAUGUUUAUUUAUAAUGAUGUAGUAGGAUACGGAGUGGAUUUUUCCUGCACAAAGUUAUGUGAUGUAAUGAAUAUACUAACUCUGAAUAGUCACGAUUUGUUUUCGAUUACUGACCAAGGGAGAGAAAUAAAUUAUAAAUGGGAUAUUUAUGAAGGAUACAUGGCAAGAUGAUAGAAGAUGGGAUAGAAUAGGAAGUGGGACAAAAGAUCCAUGGCAAAAAUGCCCCAUUAUCGAUGUUGAAAUUCAUUCGCAAUUUGAACUUGUAGGCUAAAAUGAUCUUAGGAUGCAUGAAAAGUUUAUACUCCCGAGGAAGAACUUAGAGUAGUGUAAGAAUCAUGGUAGCAAUCACUUAUGAUGAGAGGAUUCAUGUUUCUGGAUAAGUUACCAACAGAUUUGCCUCCUAUGUCUACAUUAUCUCCUUGGUUUUUUCAGAAACCACUUCCAGAUAUAAAGACUACACCAUGCAUUAAGGGACAAAUGCCAUCUUGAAACAUGGUGUAAUGCGGAUGUGAAACAAAAACAAGUAUCAUAGAGUACCCGAAGCUCAAUCUAGAUAGUCAGAGAUCAGAUCACUAACUAGCUUUGACCCAUGAACUACGUGAAUAUUUGUCCCUAUAUACAAAUCAUUAAGAAGUAGCCACUAUCCAGGAAAGAACGACAGACUAUUGUUUCUAUUAGGUGUGGAAGGUGUGGAAGCAAGGCAGCUCAGCAACUUCCAUGCCCUCAGAGAACCUUUCUGAGCAAAGAAGACAAACCUUCACUUCUGACUUAACACUACAUUUAACAUCAUCUUCAUCAUAAACGUUUGUUCUUUUUGUGGCCUAAUUUUGAGUGCUGCAAUUUAUUCAUAUUUUUAACUCACUUGUGGGCUAAAAUGAUCAUAUGAUGCGUGGGGGCUUACUAUUCAAGUUCUUGGAAGAACAAAAGAUGGCAUAUCAAAUCAUGGCAACGACCACCUGUGAUGAGAGGAUUCAUGUUUCUUUUUAACUUACCAAUGGAUUUGCCUCCUCUGUCUGAGACUUCUCCUCUCCUUGGAAUUUCAGAAAGCACUUCCAGAUAUAAAGAGUACUACGAUAAGCAUUAUGGGACAAGUGCCAUCUUAAAACAUGGAUGUAAACCGAAAAGAUGGAAUAGAGUAACCAUAGCUGAAAUGAGAUUGUCAUGCAUCAAAUUAUUAACUACAUUUAGCCCUCAACUAUCCCUAUGGAAACAAAAAUACUGGCUUUACUGAUACUAUUAGGUAUUCCACUAUCCGAAGUUUGAGAGAAGAUAAUAGAACUAAUUUAGACACAAGCUGCACAGCUUGAUUUAUGCACAUUGGACAAGAGUUAGCUACAACUAGCCACUUAAAAAUACAUCCCUUGUGGAAGGUGUGGGAGCGAGGCAAUUCAGCAACUUCCAUGCCCUCAAAGAACCUCUCCAAGCAAAUAGGACAAACCUCCAUUUCUGACUUAUCACUAUAUUUGUCAUCAUCUUCAUUUUAACUGUAAGAACGCAACUUCAAACCUGCCUGGACUUCAGAUAGAGAGAUUGAGGUUUUUAAACUUUAGGGAGGUCAUGUGUAGAGCUGUUAAACGAACCGAGCUGUUCGGUAGCUCGGUUCGUUUCGGCUCGUUCGUGUUCGUGAAAGGCUCGUUCGAAAUUUUAAACGAACCGAGUUCGAACGAAUUUUUUUGUUCGAUUAAUAAUCGAGCGAACACGAGCAUGUUCGCGAGUUUUAACGAACAUUCGCGAACAUGCUAAACGAACGUUCGCGAACACGAACAUGUUCGCGAGUUUUACCGAACGUUCGCGAACAUAGACAUAAUUAUCAUUUAACAAAUUUUAGGGUUAAUUUUAUGGCUGGACUUUUAUAUUUAGAGGGCAAAUUUCUUUGUUUUAUUUGUUGUUUUUAUGUUAAUGUUAGUUAUAUAGUUAAUGAAUAAUAGAAUUUAGUCACUUAGUGCUUUAAUUAUUUUUUAGAAUGAUUAAUAAUUUGCAUGGCAUAUUUAAGGCAUAAAAUAAUUUGGAUUCGAGCAUUUCGAACAUGUUCGCGAACUCGAACUCGAACUCGAACACGAAUUUUACUUAACGAACCGAACACGAACACAGGUUUGGAGUUCGAAAAUUAAUGAACGAACACGAACGUUGUUCGAACUGCUUAACGAACAGAGCUCAAACAUGAGAUACUCGGUUCGAUUCGGUUCGUUUACAGCUCUAGUCAUGUGGUAUCAUGUAAAAGUAUAGAGAGAUUAUUGAGUAAAAUAAUUUUUUUUUUAAUGAAACAGGCCCCUUUUAGAUAAAUAAAAUCAAUAAAACGGAAACCAAUUGGGAUUUGGUGCAUGAAAAGUCAUACACCAUAUCUCAGGUUGUCAAUCAGAUUUUGUGAGUUGGGUUUUGAGAGGUCUAAACUAGCUCAUAAAAUAAAGUAGAACUUUUGGACUUUCAGACUUAGACUACAGAUUCAAUGUGCAAGACUCAUACUCGACUCCUAAAAAAUUUAGGGCUUUAGGCUUAAUUCGAGCAUGACUCAAAAGUACAAUUAAUCCACAAUUAUAUACUAUAUGCAUAUGAUGUUUAUUUUAUUUUAGCAUUAAAUUAUAAAUUAUAAACUAAGGUGCACAGGUUAAAGUUUUUUUUUUUGAGGGGAGGGGCGGAGCAACUCUCACAAAAUCAGGGGUACAUUUAUGAUAAUUUCAAAAAAAAAAACGUUAAAAGUGCUUGACAAAUUAAGGUUGUAAAUCACUUGUGUAAACAAAUUAAAGUGAUUUUGAGUUGUGACAUAUGCAUAAAAAAUACAUCAUCAUUAUUAAACAUCCAGGAGAAAAGGAAACAUCCAGGAUUAGAGUUUUUUUUUGCUUUUUUUUUUUUUUGUAGCACAAUUUGGGUAGUUCAGAAACCAAGUUAAUAAAGAUUGACAUGGAUUAUGAGCUAUGGAGUCAGCAUGAACUUAAAUGCAAACAACACAAGCCGAUCUACACAUUGGACAAGAGACAGUACUAAGCAGCCAUUGAUAGACACGUCAAAUACUCCUUCAAAUUAAUCAAUUACUAAUCAAACUCAGAGACGAACAAUUGAAAAUCAAAUCCAAAGGGCUAAGUAAAACCACCAUCAACAUAUAGAAACUAACAAAGAUUAUCUGACAUAUAAAAGUUAAUGACAUUACCCAAAAAAAUUCCCUUGUGCAUUUUGUCCCUAAAGCCAAAUCAUCAAGUAGUAAUGAUCAUAAUCCAGGAAACUAAGGAAAAAGACAGACCAAUCAUCCUGUUUGGUGUUCUACUAUCCCGAGUUUAAUACAAGAUUUCCAAUUGUACUGGACCAAAACUGCAGAAGUUGAUCCACAAAUUGGACAAAGAUCAGCUCUAGCUAGGUACCCAAAGAUCCAUCUCCUGUGGAAGGUGUGGGGGCAAGGUAGCUUUGCAACUUCCAUGCUCUCAAAGAACCUUUCUUGCCAAAUAGGACAAACUUUCACUUCUGACUUAUCAUGACAUCUUUCAUCAUCUUCAUUAUGAACAUGCAACUUCAAAGUUGCCUAUGCUUCUACCAAACCCUUUGCAGCUUCUGCUGGUUUGCUACUAGAAAGAUCGAUAUCAUAAAGGGUGUUCAAGAGAUCUUCAAUCUGCUUGACACUUAUAUCGCCCUUAUGCUCAAUGACCUUGUCAAGCUCAUUAACUUUGCCCAUGUCGCAAUUAUCUGCUGAUUCCACAUGUAUUAUCGAGUCUGGUAUUGAGUUCAAGGGGAAAAACAAGCUUAGGAUCCUCACUGGACAAUAUUUCAAGACUAAAAUGAAACGUUCGAUGUAUUUGUGAUGCUAAAUCAUCGGCCAAUGACUUCAUAUUGGUGCAUGAAUCAAGAAUGUUUCAAGAUUCAAGAAUUUGGCUCAACAUUAAACUUUUGAAGUCAAACAAAUUGACGCCUCCUGAUGCAUUCUUGCAAAACGAAACGGUUCCAGCCUACUUAAUAGUACGAGGUUGGGGAAUGGGACUAGCAAAGGCAGUAAACAGACAGAUCAAGAAUAUGCCGCCUCUAGGCUCCGGGAUCUUUGCAUUCGAUUUGAAUACUUGAAUUUUGGACUCAACCUUUUUUAUCUCUGUCAUACAAGCUCUCUUCGUCUCCAUAAAAUUUACUAGCCUGCUGUUUUUGCAACUUCUAAUGUUAAUGGAUUCAAAAUUGUAUUUUUGAGGAAGGUUGCAAGUUUCCUUGGAUUGAUUAUAAGUUCUUUUGGUUUUCUUUUGGAUUGAUUAUAAGUUCUUUUGAUUAUAAGUUUGAACCCAACCGAGUCAUCAUCGAAACGGAGCUCUUCGUUCUGAUAUUGAGGCGAGAUAAUUCUACGAUACAUGGAUUGCCAAGAACUCAGCGAGAAGUCUCCAACCUGGACAGAAACGGUCGAGUCACAUCGAGUCAACUUGAAUCCAACCAAAAACCAAUAGAAAAAACAAAAAAAAAGGACGAAAUUGUUAUAUUAGAAAAAAGAGAAAAACAAUUGUUGUAUCUGACAACCCAUGCACAAAAGACCAAAAUACAAAGGAAAUAAAGACUCAACAGUGAAAUUCAUCAAUAAUUUGCAAUCCAAAACAACAAUAGAACAAAAAAUCAAAUCAAAGAAAGCUACCACUUUACUUUUCUUUCAAAAACUGCAGCCAUACAAAGUGAGAAAAAGUGAGAGAAGGAGGUGUAAAGGAAAAGAUGGCCAAAACUUCAGUGGAGGAGAGGUGAAAUUUGGCGAAACUUUCUUUCAUGGUCGCAUUAUUUGGAUGCUGAACUUUAGGAAAAGUGUCUGAAAUUUAGGCCCAACGCUUCGAAGAGAAGAGAAAAGUUCAGAAACACUAAGAAUUUGAUCUAUACUCGGUGAGUUCUUUUUGUAGUUGAACGUUGCUUCUAUUUCCAUUGUUUAUAUAGAUAAACAUUUUUCCUAUCUGCAUUUUCUCUUAUAGAAAAGUUUGGGGUUAAAAUCAUGGACAUCCAUCUCAAUUGGGUUUGGCCCGGUUGAUUUAUUUCUUUAAAUUUUUCUAUACUUAUUAGUAGGUAUGAAUUAGAAACGUAUUGGAUUAAUUGUGGCCCUUAUGUAAUGAGCCAAGGUUGAAUUAAUUUCGAUUGUGUCCAAAAUAAUAUUUAGGAAUUUAGAUUUAUCUGACUAAUUUGUGUUGUUGAAAUUUAUUGUGGGUCAAACACAAGCUUAACACUUAUCUCACAUAUAAUUCAAAGUAUACAAUAGAUUAGUCCAAAUUCAUUUGAUAUUUAGUAAAAAUAGUAAAAUAUCUGUUAUAUCUUUUAAUAUAAAUUUUCUUACUGGUAAUCAAUUUUACGAGAUAGCUAUUAGUAGAAGUUUCAUCUUUAUUGACUUUUUUUAGCUAUAACGGUAAUUAAUUAUACAAUAUAUUUAUUACUAAAACUUCUAUUUUUGUUGACUUUUAUAGUUAUGAUAACUACCUACAACUCUGGUUAUAGCCUCCAUAUAUAAGAAAUGAAUUGUAAUGAGUAAUUACUUUUAAAUGAUUACUUAUAAUCAUAACGCUUCAGCUAUUUGAAUAAUUUUAUAAAAUGCACUAAUAAUUUUAAUAAACAUUUAAACUUUACUAAAAAUUUCUUUAAAAAAAUGAACAAAUGAUCAUUAUAGCUAGUUUACAUUAUAAAUAAAAUUUUUAACUUACAAAUAUAAUAAAAAUAAAUUAUUACUAUUAUAAUAUGUCUUAAACUACUUGUUGUAUUUUUUCAUAUAUCUUUAAAUAUUUUGCGAUGGAUUAAUCAUAUAUAUUGAUACAUGGAACAGUUACAAUGACGAGCAAGGAUAUUGGUUGGGAACAUGAUACACCUGUGGGUGGGAAUAGAAAAUUUGUGAGAUGCAAUUAUUGUGAAAAAAUAAUGCAUUGUGACAUUACAAGAUUGAAAGAGCAUGUCGGUCAUGUCAGAGGACAGUUGAAGCAUGUCCAAGGGCACCAUGAGAAUAGGUGUAAUAAAAAUGCAUCUAAAGGCUGCUAAGGCUCAAAGAGUUGCAAUAAAAAAAAAAAAGAAGAAAUAUUGAACUCUCUGCAACAAGAAAAUAUAUAUAGUAAUGUCAACAUAGUUAGCGACGAUGAUGACAAAGAUGUCCUUGAAAUUGAUGAAGAAAGUAGGAUGGUGUUGGGAAAAAAAAAAACAGAUGAAUCAAGCAAUUAGAGAGAGCCAAUACUUGCAAUUUGUCGAAGAACAACGAAGGCAUUCCACAUCUGGUUUACCAUUCAUCUGGAAAUGAGAGUGAUUUUAAACCAUAUCGUCCUUCUAUCUUGAUAUUAACAGGUACGGAAAUAUAAAGUAAUAGUAUAUCUUUUUAGAUGCUUGCCUUUUGUUUAAUAUGAUUCCUUUUUAUUUUUGAUAGGAGAUUGAUCAUGAAAUAAGUGAAAUUAUUCCAACUUGUAUAAAAAAUAAAUCCUUAUUUUGUAUUGUUAAUGGUUAUUAUUACUUUUGCAAUUAUUAGUUUUAAAAUUGUGUUUUGUGUUAUCUUGAUUCUGUUUGUGACGCCAUUAUAUUACAUGAUGAAAGAUGCUUAUUGUGUUUAAUAUGUAUAAAAAUAAUACAUUUUACAGAUUUUCUCUUACUAAUUUUUAUUAUUUUUGUUUGGCAUAUUUUUUUAUACUAUUCACAAUUUUUAGAAUAUUAAAUGUUUUUCAAAAUUUGUGUCUUGUUGAGACUGCUACCGAUAUGCCGAGACGGAUGUGGAACGGUUUGGACCACAACUUUAAACCAUGGUAUACACCUCUGCAAAGUUGUUUCUUAAUUAUUUGAGUUUCCAAUUUGGAUUCGGAGUGUCGAACAAUUGAAUUAUAUUCUUCUAAGGAGCAUUCAUUUUUUGAUUUGGAGUAGGAUCAAGCUUUCCUUAAUUUACCCGUUUCAGGAAGGAAAAAAUUGAAGUUUGUUUUUUCGCUUCAUCAUUGUUUCUUUUCCUCUUUGUAUUAGAAGUCUCGUCAUAUUUAACUAAUCCUCUAUAAUAAAGGAAUUAACAUCAGUUCUCGGGAAGAAAGUUGUUUUUGCAUAUGCUUAUAAAACAAGCUACGUAAUUAACUUGGUAGAGUUAUCUCACGUCUUUUACAAAUUUCCUCUUCGUUGUCCUUCUUUUUCGAGUGUCUAAAUAUUCGAAAAAAUUUAGUGAUAUAUUAGAAAACCCUAAUUGGCUGUAACCUUUAUUAUCCUCUCUUUUUGCUCAUCUUUUUUCUACUGUUCUUCUCUAUUGGCUUUGUCAUGGAGCCACAGGCAACUCCUCGUUCACAAGCAAGCCUUCUGCUUCAAAAACAGCUCAAAGAUCUUUGCAGGAAUCCGAUAGAAGGAUUCUCAGCGGGUUUGGUGGAUGAGAGCAAUAUGUUUGAAUGGAGUGUUACCGUCAUGGGGCCUCCUGGUUCACUCUACGAUGAAGGCUAUUUUAAUGCCAUUAUAAGCUUUCCAAAGGAUUACCCGUCAGCCCUCCAGCAGUGAAAUUUACAUCGGAGAUAUGGCAUCCAAACGUAUAUCCUGAUGGAAAAGUUUGCAUGUCGAUUCUUCAUCCGCCCGGUGAUGAUCCAUAUGGCUAUGAGCAUGCAACUGAGCGCUGGAACCCCCUUCAUACCGUUGAAAGCAUAGUCCUGAGCAUCAUAUCGAUGCUUUCUAGCCGAACGACGAGUCUCCUGCGAAUGUGGAUGCUGCAAAGGAGUGGAGAGACCAGAGAGACCAAUUCAAGAAGAGAGUGAAGCGUUGUGUUAGGAUGACUCAGGAGAUGUUGUGAAAUUAUGCGUGCAGUUUAAGAUAUUACAAAUGAUUAGGCACAUACAUUGAGGUUUCUUUUGCUAUCUUGAUAAUUAAAAAGCACUACUUUGUUUUGUUUUUCUUCUAUAUGAAUGGAGAUUCUUUUACACUUGGUUAUUCUUGAUAUAUUAUGGGUUAUUUAUCAUGUUCAUGUGUAUGCUGUUUCUGCUUUUCAAGUUCAAAGUUUAAUUCAACAAUGAUAAGACAAUCUUGUUAAUGCCCUCCAGAGGAGCAGACCAGGUCUAAAAGUGUCUUUAACUCUGAAACGAAAAAUACAGGUCCACUCGAAAAGAUAAUUGAAAAUCAAGAAUUACUGCUAAAUUCAUGCCUCCUGAAUAGCUAGUUUUGCAUGGCUAAAGAGAUCAUUGGGCUGUUCCAUUUAAAUAAUUGACUGCAUCACAAUCUGUGAUCAAACAAUGCUGUGUUCUCUCAAUCUGAAUUCCUCGAAAACCUGCUUGGAUAUUAUGAUGAAGAAAAUCUAGCCCAAGCACUACUACAAGACACAAAUAGAUUAGUACGCUUGAACAAAAAAAGCAGCACAAUAAAUGGUGUCAAUGAUUUCUUUCUAUAAACAUCUCAAGUUACAGAUACGUUUAGUGCUAUAGAAUUACUGCAACCAAUGAAUUCUUUCUAAACAUCUAAAGAUACAGAGUAUGAUUUAGUGCUAUAGGAUUACUGCAUUUGUUAUUCCUAUACUACAGCAGCAUGGUAAGUAAUGAUAACUAAUGGUCAGUCAGGAUAUGUAUACAGCACUUGCAACAUCAAACCUGAUUCUUGAACCACCAGCUUCCAGCCGUCAAAAGCAGAACCGGAGGCAUUUUUCUUGCUCAUUUGCUCCAUUCCCUGGUUAUCUCAUUGCAGGACCAACAGAAUAUAAAACAUGGUGGAUCAAUGACAGUUGAUGAAAGUUGAUUUGUUGUCAAAAAAGUUUUGCUCCAUUUGCCUCCGUACACGCAAAGCUCUUCUGUGCUUACAGCAGACAUAUGCUACAAGUUUCAAUAUACUUGCAUGUAUGCGAGAAAGCCAGCAAUUCUCUUUAGGGAACCUGAAGUACAUGAAACUAAAGCUCAUCCUCCCACUUAUGGAAUCACAAAUUCUUUGUGUCAUAGCUGUCAGCAGUAUCCCUGCUGAGUUUAAGAACCAAUCCAGUUUGACAUAGGAUUUAGCAUCUGCUGCAUAGAAGGAAGAAAUGCAGAUCUCCUUCAGGAGAUAAGAGGAUCACCAGCAUGUCCCCAAUUAAAUUCCCUGAUUAUUCACAUGUCACUGUCUGGCAUGCCCCCGGUUCUCUAUAUGGGCAGUUGCUCCAUUUGAGCUUUCUCCCACAUAUAAGGUCCAGUUUCAUUUCAACCCCUCAGUUGAAGAAGUAUGUGUGAGUGAUUUGAGUACUUCACGCAAGUCAAAGUUACCUCUUUUUGGUAGAGCAGGAAAGGUCAAUGUUGGAUAUGAUGUAUGGAAGUUUUCAAGCAACUGCUGACAUAAACAGAAGAUUACCAGAAAGUAUUUGGAAGUAAAACAAAAGAAAUUUGUUUAUAAAAGCAAAUUCCAUCCUAAAUAAUAUGAACAACAUAUAAUUUUUUCUCACCAAUUUCAUUCUUAGAAUCACAAUAUUCCACUCUGAAAACAAGAUGCUGCAUUAGUAGAGUAAAGCAUCAUUCAGCCUACUGCUACAUUACACGAUGAACUACUUCAACUCAGAUGAUAGACACCAGUCUUAUGGACAAGGCUCGUUAUGCAUGGUCACCAAAAAGUGAGCAAACUCAAAAGGGAAAAGAUAUGUAGCAAUCUCAGCAAACAAGAUAUGUAAUCCUCUAACAUGCUUACAUUUUCAAGUAUUGGCAUGCUAUAAAGCUCCACAAAUUUCUCUCUCAGUAUCUGGUUCAUCUUGUCAACAUCACACGCAUGCGUCCAAAAGGAAUCAUGUACCCCUGCAAUUACACUUUUUAAGAGAUUCAAGCAUUCCUGAACAUAACCUGUUCUUUUAACUAGUAUGAAUGAAGCCUUGAAAUUAUUUGCCAAACUACAAAACUUUUCGAUUGCCAUAUUUUGGAAUGUAGUAAGCAAAAGAGUUCCACUGUUUAGAAAUAGAGGUUAGGAUUAUCUCACAAGAUAUAAAUCAAAGAAAAUCCAAAACCUAAACAAACUGAAAGCCAUUAAGAACUUGUCAAUCUCGAAAGCUCAUACAGUGAGUGAGCCUCCUGAGCAUUUUUCAAUUGUCUCAUUUGCUAUUUAUGUAGUUUGUAUUCACUUCACUUUUAGCUUAGUUUAUUUGUCUUGUUUUCUAACCGUUGACUUUUACCACAAAUUUGGCAGUUGCAGUGACUGAUGAAUCUUUCUUUAUCUGCAUCCUCUACCCUUAUCUGAUAUCACUGGUGGGCAUUUAGGACUAAGCCCAUCAUCUUUGCAUGAUAUAUGCAAACAGGAUAACAUUGUUCUUGCUCAAUCUUUAUUGUGCCUUGUAUCAACAGAAAGUUUAAAGUUUUGGUAUUAAUGAACUCAGAAGUUCUCUGUAAGCAUCCAUUCAUGUUGCAAGUCAUCAAGGAGAAAAUUCCAAGACUUCUUAAUUUUGACACUCAUUUUUAAUCCUGCAGCAUUUACAGAAUCUUUUUCACCAUUUGACAUUUGUCAUAUCCAAGACCGGAAAUCAUGAUAUUCCCAGAAUGUAAUCCGCAUAUUCAAAGCGAGGUAGCCUUUUCCUUAACUAUUACAAUUGCAUAGAUAAGUCUUGUAUUUCAGUUAAGCACACAAAAGAUACUGUUACACCACCACUUUGCUUUUCUAUUCAUAUAGAGAUUCUUCAGUUAAGAGUAGUUACUAUAUCUCCCACAAUAACAGGCCAUGCCUUAGCUUUUGUUUGCAGGCAUUUAUAUGUCACUCUCUCUACAACUAUAACCAUCUCAAAAAAGUACUUAAUACUAAUUGUAGCUUUUCUUGUAUUGUUGCAAAUAUAUCAGAACGCAUACUUUUCUGGACUUAUUAUAUUCACAUAACUUGCCUAACAAACUCAUCUUUGUUCUCCAAAGCACAACUGUGUAAUAGCCAUAGUCAAAGCAGGGCAUCACACGAGAUCUUUGGAGACCAUGAUUUUUAUAACAUAACUUGUUGAACAAGCGAUUUUUUUUUUUUUAAAUCAUCCGAAGCAUGCUGGUCUAAUAGCAAUCAUGCAAACUUCUCAAUUUGACUGCUGCAUUAUGCUGGACUAUCAUUUGAUUAUGCUUGAUGUCCUACUUGUAUAUGACCACUGAGCUUGAACCCACCUCAUAUAUCUCCUAGUUCUCCAUGGCUAGCAAUAUUGAAGCUACUACCAAAAACAGUUGCUUCUACUUCUUGAUAAUAAUUUUAUGUCCCUCUUUUUUUGCAUCCAUCUGUUCACUAUAUUGCAUUGCUCUUGAUUCGUGUUAAGUUUUGUUCCAACUAUAAUUUUAAUCUAAUGAUCGUCAUUAUUUUAAACCCUGGAAAACAGCAUUAAACUUGGAAAUGUUUACCUUAAUGGUUGACAACUGGGAAUGGCAGAUAAAGGAUUAAAAGUCUAAUGUAGACUGAUUCACAUGGAAAUUGGAACUUAAAAUGUGCAACCCACGUGAUUACUCAGCUCUUAUUCUAGAGUUGUUAAUCCUUACCUUACUGUGAUCUUGUUCCAAGAACUAGAAACAUUAAGGUAGAUAUUCAGCUCUUUGAUAUUCUGUAACACUCUUGGUGUUACUCCCUUUUACACCAUAUAUUACGGUGGCACUCAUCCCCUCAUUUAAUAUCAGUAAGUCCGAUAUCCACCAACAUUUGUGGAUAUUGAACAAAGUAACAAGUGUCACCCUAAUAGAUGGUGUAACAGGAAAUUUAACACCAAGUUUGACAGAGUAUCUAAACACAUCUAGGACCCCAAAACCUUCAGGAUAACAAUCAGUAAACAGGGCUAAUCUAUCACAGAGCCAAUAAGAUAUAUACUUUGGAGGCCUUGAGAACAUACCUGCAAAUUGCAAUCCAGAAUCUCUACAAGCAAUUGCGGUCAUCAUCAUGUGAGUACUAUCCAAUGAGUGCACAAAAUUUGGAGGAAAAGCAGUUCUCUGUUUUCUAGCCUCAACCUAGAGUACAAGAUAGUAAUCUAUUCAUUAUAAUCUUAAAAUUGAAUACUGAACUCAGAAAACGUGAUCAAGGUGUCCAACUUAUUCUUUGGAAAAGAAAACAUACUGAAUCACCCUCACGCUGCAAUGCCAGAACCUGAAGCGAAGUUUUUAUCUGCACAUGGAGAAAGAACUGGUAACCACAUAGUCACUGAAUUACAGUAAGGAAAUGACUCCACAGGGCUGAAACAUGAAGCAUUGACCUCUAGAUAGUUUCUUCUUUAAAGACAGAACACAAAGGCCACUUCAGAGGGAGCAACUCACUGUUCUUGAUCAGGUCAAUUAAAAACCUGGUGCUAAUGCGCUGUCUAUCAAGGUUUAUGCAGGUAAAAUCAUACAAAUUCUUGAAAUGCUAUUGAAUAUCUUCGCACACUUUGUAAGUCAUUAAUGGAAGAUAAUCUAUUAGUCAUCCAUUUUUUAGUCAAAAUGAGGUGCCGUCCUCCUUAAAUUAAUAAUCUACAAACAUGAUGCAGAAUCACUCACUUGUGCCAGUCAAACAUAUCACAUCAGGAAGUUGCACUAAGUGGCAGAUUUAAUUAGGUUUAAAGGGGCCAAAUUAAUCAAACACUUACAAUGUGCCGCCGAGAUUUAAAGUAUGGUUGCACAACUGGGAGACCCAGUGGCGUUGUCCAGCGCACAGGUUGGUUUUCUGAAGCAAUCACCUGCCAAAUUUCCAUUUAUCAAUUCAACGAUCUUAAUCGCAUCAUCAUAUGUUUAAGAUGCAAAUCUUACAAACCUUGGCACAGUCACCAAGCCAAACCAUUAUACCACGUGCUGCUUGAAACAGCUCACCAAGUGCAGCCAUUGUCACCUGUAGAGAAUGUCAAGAUCAUUUAACCAACCUAUCUAUGGCAUCUUGUCUGCCAAGUUGUCAUGCCCAAAUUUACUUUUACCACUGUGGUGAAACCAAAAAUAUUCUCCUUAAUAGAAUAUCAGUCAGCUUCUAAUUCAUCAAAACUGAAAUGAACACGAUGUUUCCUGCUUUUAGAUUGUUUUUGAAUCAAGACACUAAGUGAUGCCUCACCGUGUUGUUUAUUUUCCAAACUAUGUUAAUACUCUCUGUUUAACCUAUCAUUUUCAGUUAUUCUACAUGGUGCCCAGUCCAUUAGGACAUUCAUUGUAAAAGCAACAUAGUGUCUCUACAAUAUUUAAUUCUCACAAAAAACAAUGGCACAAAUGACAAUAUUCUUGAAACCUACAAAUGAACAUGCACAGAAAUAUAGAAUGAAUAGAGCAAUAACUUGCAGGAAUAGCAGGUGCCAUUUUAUGAAUAAUCUUUCAAGUAAUUCUUUGAUCUCCAAUCAUUAUAACAGUGUUGAAAAAAUAAAAAGGGAGAAAAAAGACUCAGCAAAUUAGGGAACUUCCUAUAGUCUCUAAACAUGAGCUUCAAUUUAACCGAUUGACAAUUCUCCAAAGUACGUGCACGUUUAUGAAGUUAAUUUUACCAAUUCACAAAAAUAUAUACUUGACCAUCUUUAGCAAGUUGUAGAUAUCUGAAAGAAUGCACUGUGCAUUAUGGAUCUGAUUCUUGCAGCAGUAUAAAUUCCCAGAAAUUCCAGGUCAUUCAGGACCCAAGUGUUCUGAAUAUGCUCAUGUUAAAAGGCAAAUUUAGUAUCAACUGUAAAAGAUACAGUUAAGAUUCAUGCAAAUCUCAUUGAGAAUUAAAUUGAUUAUCAAGUUUCAUACAUCUGAACCAUUCAAAUUUAAUCUCGCAUGGAUGUCUCGUCACGUUGGGAGAUUUUCUGUUUAAAAGUAACCCGGAGGAGUAACACCUAACUGCCAGCAAUAUAAGCACUAAAAUCUAGUUCUGAAGCUUACCUUAGCACCAUAGCAAGCUGCACUGAACAGCAACCUAUCAUCAGUAAUCAGACCCUUCUCCUGUAACCUUCUUUUGAUUUGUUCACGUGCCCCAACAUAAGUGACACCAUAUACCGAUGUCAUGACGUCUGCUUCACCAGUUUCCUGUCUACCUGAAAGAUUCAACAGUCACAAACUUUUUUUGAAAAUUUUGAUGGAAGAUUAUUAUUGCAGCACUAGCAUCUUAAGGAAAUUGAAGAAUUGUUUAAAAUUUGCAACUCACAGAAAAAUAAAUAAAUAAAUAAAAAGUAACCUGAUCAACUAAGAGUUUGGCUAUUGUAGCAUUGGGAUCAAUUGUAGGGUCCUUUUCACUGUCUAGUCUUAUAAUAUCAUGAACCCUGAAAAUCAAAACAGUUCUGAAGAGUUAUUUUGUAAAACAACCAUUUAGCCUUUGGAAAAAGCUUAAAUAAUGAGUCAUUCUCAAAUGCAGACAAAUUUUGAGCCCAGCAUAAUUUCAAGUAUACAAGAACAAUACCAGAAAAAAUAGGAAGUGAAAGUUAAACUAAGCACAGAAACAUAGGAAUCUAACUCAGGAUCCCAAAGAACAAUUUGAGACAUACUGUCUAAAACACAAAACUACAAAACCAUCUUUGGGAAAUUAAAUUUUAAAACUUUGAACUAGACUAACAAUGAUGUUGUGCCUGAAUAUCGUAAAGAUACAGUUCCAAAGAGUUAUUUCACAAAACCAUUUAGACCAUGGAAAAGUGUACACUCAAAAAAAAUCAUUGUUUAAUGUACACAAAAUCAGAGCAAAGUAUAAUUUCAAGUUUAAAAAGGGCAAACCGCAAGAAUUAGUUAGGAAAAUGUCAAAGGUCAAAUGCAGACAUACAGGAAUUUCAGAAUCACAAGGACUACUUCAGAUAUACUAUCUCAAACACAAUUUUCAUCUAAAUCUUUAGUAAAUUGAAUUUUAAAACUUUCAACCAGACUAACUAUGGUGUGCCUGAAUAUCAUAUAAAUUUCAAUUACGUUUAGCCAAAAUAUAGGAAAGAUUAAAUACGCUGCUUUCCCAGAUUCAUAAUAUAUAUAUAUAUAUAUAUAUAUAUAUAUAUAUAUAUAUAUAUAACUAAACACCAUGAAUUUAAACACUUAAUCAAACAAGUAUCAAGAACAUAAUGUCAUUUAUAUACAAAAAUUGAAAUAUUUUGUGAUUAACAUGCUCUCGAAAAAUCUUUUUCUCAAGUACCUUGCAGCAAUUUCAGAAUAAACAUCUGCAGGUUUAUCUCCAGCAAUUAAAUUGACUGCAGCAGCUUCCAUCUGCACAGGUAUGGUCACUUUAUUAAAAGACAGAAUGAUAAAAUGCUACAUGCGAAAACAGAUUUGCAAAAUAUAGUAGUGGAUUAAAGUUCACAUCAACUCAGGUCAACCUAUUACAGCAUCACCAAACUACUAGAGAACAAAACCUGCAUAUUGCUACAAUCUCUGGUUCACAGGAAGUUAGAAUUGAUUCUUUGCCUAGCAAAUAAAACAAGAACAUGUACUAGCUAUAUCAAUGAAGGAGCCUAGAAAUAUCAAAUAUACCAACUCAGGUAAAUACACUCAUGGCUAUAUCAAUUGAAGAAAAAAGAAAAAUGGAAAAGCUUUCACUUGGUUGGGGGGAAGAAUAAUUAAGUCAUUUACGAGCACAAUACAUCAAUGGCUGAGCAGAAACCAUACACUGUCUUUCCCCAAAGCUGCAUAGUGCUGUAGACCAUUGCAUGAACCAUCCUAAUACAGCCAAAAAGAAAAAAAUCAAGUUACCAACUAACAAAUUAGAUUAAAUAGAAGGAAAUAACGAUGAAACACAUUCAUGGGUAAGUUGCUUCAUUCCCUAUCAGAACAGUUAGAAAGGAUAGAGUUAUUCCUCUACAAUCAAAAAAUGCAACCCUGCAACUAAUAAAAAGAUUACUAAAUAUACACGGGACUGUAUAGACAUGUACCAGUGUUUUUGCUCAAACCAGCACUUUCUUUGAAAUCUCAUCAUAAAAGGGAUCUCAUAAGUUUUUCAGAGAUAAGACGACAGAAAGACAAACUAAAAUCUGUUUCCAAAUCACUAUACAUCUUUAAGUUCUCUAGAAGGAAAGGAACAGUGAAACUCUUGAAAGAAAGGAGAGGUAUUGGUAAGUACAGCUUCUAACAACUAAGAACAUACUGUUCCCUUUGGCAAACAAGAGUAAAUGGUUAGUGUUUCUUUUUUUCCUUUUUUUUUGGGGGGGCGGGGUUUGAUUGAAAAUGAUUUAUCUUUGGAUUGUGAAAGUGGUUCAAUGCAGUUGGUCCUUUGUUACACCUUAGUCUACUUUUAAAAAUUGGAGAAUACAGUCAUGUGAAAUUCCACAUUUAGGCAUCACUUUUAGAUUACCCCAUUCUAUCAUAUGGCUAAAAAAAGUUUACUCAGUUAUGGAGACUUAAAAUAGUUUAUAAGUGCUUCACUUUGCUUGUUUCCUUUGCUGAGGAAAGAGGACAGAAGUACCUGGUGGAUGGGCAGGUGAGAGAUGACAGUAUGUGGUGAUGAGCUCUUUAAGGCUUCUGAUAGGUUCAUACAAGCUGCUAAGCACUGAAAAGGAUCCUCAGCCUUUAACCACCAGCGAUUUCCAUUGAGAGGAUUAUCUGCUGAAUCUAAAACUUCAUUCAGGUGAUUUUCCACAAAAGCUAGGCGCUGGUCAUAGGAAAGCUUUUUGACAACCCCUCCAUAAAGAUUUGCUAGAUGUAUCUUAAGCCAAUACACUCCAGAUUUUCCUAAAGGCCGUCCUUCUGCAAACUCCAGGAGCCCUCGACAUAGAUCAGAACUCAGAUGAUUCAAAUGUGGAUGCAUAGGAUAUGCACGGCCCCGAAAAUCCAGAUUGUGGGGAUAAUAAAAACCAUCCUCAUCUUUCAUUUUAUGAGCCACCUGCUCUGCAUAAAAACUACUUACAAUUUACCCAUAUAAAUCUGCAGACUGAUCUAAAUUAGUACUUCUAGAAGCCAGCUAAGUGAUGUGAGAGAAAACAAGAUGAUAUGAUUUGCAGAGGGUUUCAGCGAAAUUAUUACAUGACAGACCAGUUCCUGAUAUUUCCUUCCUCGAAAUGGGAUAAUCAGUAAUGAUAAAGAUACUCACAGAAAGCUUGAGUUCAAUGUCACAUCGCUGUGAGUGCCUCUCUGGUUGAUUUUUUUUGCUUUCCUCAUGUUCCAUUUCCAUUUUUUGAUUUCUUCCACCGCAUCAGAGUGCAAUUCAGGUUUAUGAACCUAUAUAAGAAGUAACAAGUUGCAUAGCAUCAGCAAUUUCAUGCUGAUGAGUCCAGCAAUCAACUUGUUUUUAUUCAAACAUAAAACGGCACAUUUGGGAUAGCUUUUAAAGGAUGAAAAUCCAUUUCAGAGGAAGUUUUUCAAACUGAACUUUAAAUCAUGGUAUUGUUACAUUACCACCUAUUUUUGGUGAUAUACAAUUUUAAAAUCUAUCUAAAUCCUAAAGUUCACAAUUUCAGUUCAAUAUUUUUUGUAGAUCACAUGCCAAAUGCAGAUAAAUACUAAAAUAUGACCUUUUCCGUAUCAUUUCCAUGCAGAAACUCCAAUUAACUAGUUUCAUUACCAUUGAAAUGCCUCCUGACUUUCUUGAGAAGUCCAUCCAAAGGAAGCUAUCUCAUGUAGUUUCCUGUGCAAAUCCUAUAAAGUGGCUAAACCACGUGUUAGACUUCUUGAAUGGACUUCCUUCGCUGAAUGUGUACUUAAAAGUGCUUCCAAACAUCCGUAACAUCUUUAAACUCAAGGCUUAAUGUUCAGCACACAGGAUCUUUAAAGUAUAAAGUUAUGGGUCUGUGGAUGAAUUCAUCAUAUAACACAUAUACGAACCAAUCUUGCAUGCUAGAUAUAUUUAGAAUGCACUUACAUCGUUGCGGUUUACCAGGCCAGCAAUGUUGCCACCUCCUCCCCAAACAGUCUCAACCACAUUCAGAAUUCGUCUGUUCACUCUCCAUUUGGUGUUUCCCAACGUAUCUAAGGCCUGCAAAUGUGUAGAAGUAAAGGAUCCCAUAAGUUCCCUGAGCAAACAAAUGUCCUCCAACUAUCAGAUAGGAAUAAAUAACCUAUAAAGCUAAUUGUAGCACAAUUACUGAUGGCUGCAAAUUGCAGACUUCAUCCCAGACCACAUGUAAAUUGACAUCCACAAUUUGCACUAUAAGUUAAAAUCCAAAAGUUUUGAAGACACAAACAUUAAGAUCCAUCAUGCUACAUAACUUUCUUCUCAGAAGGACAAAAAGAUUCCCUAUAAAGGGUCAAAUGAUUAAUUUAUGGAGGAUGAGAAUUCAAAUUAAAAUUAUCUUCCAGCUCCUCUUAAUAUUUGUUACUGAUAUACCUGAUAACAGAAUGGGUUCAGAACUUCAAGGGAAGAGGAACCAACCUUACUCAAAGAAGUCCACAGGCAUAAAUGGAUUCCAAAAUUCUUGCGUUACUUUCUUACAAGUACCAUCCUUUGUUUUCUAAGGGUUCACUGUCAAUUUGAGGACAAGUUAUAGUUUCCAUUUUGUCCAGAAGGUAUCACGUGUUUCAGUCAGUAUUUAUUUCUUCCGGGUCCAAGGAACCAAACCAAAACCAUGCAAAUGGUUCUCCUGUCUCAAUGAAAACCAAAUUAUGGUCGACAUGGAGAAUUUCUUCAAGAAUUUUACAGCUUUGUGAUAUUGCUGGAUGCUUGAAUUGUAACAAGUUGAAAGACAUACAUUAAAAAUAAAUAUAUAAAUUUGAAAGACAUGAUAGUAGGAAUUAAAGAAGUAUAAGCACAUGUAAUAUUUAGAAUGAGAAUAUUAUAAAGGACUUCUUUUGCACAUUAAAAAAUAAGUCAACCAACUUUUUGAAGUUGUUCUUUUGAUAUGGCCUCCUGAAGACAAUAGCUUUUAUCUAUGAAAUGGAAUCUUAUUCCACCACACUUCGCAUAGCUAGUACAGAGGUUAUCAGGUGACAAAUAUAAUCAGUUGACAAGUGUUAUAUUCUUCAGUAAAUAAAAUUGUUAUCUUAAGCUGAAGUUGAGUAAUU